AAAUUCUUUGCCACUCAUUUACUGUAAUUUUAGAGCGCAAGAGAUUCCCUAUUACCUUUGCAGCAAGAGGCAGGCCUUUGCACUUCAGUGCAAUUUUUCGCCCAAUUGGUUCUAAUUUUUCACAAUCUUCGAAAGAGCGACUGGAAAAUGCCAACCGCUUGAACAACGACCAACAUUCCUCUUCAGCCAAUUGCUUAAUGAAGAUAAUAUUUGUUGAUCCCAUCAUACGUGCAACUGACUCAUUACGUGUGGUAACUAAAAUUUUACUUCCUUGGAGACCAUUCUUUAGACAAAGGAAGAAUGGUUCCCAUUUAUUUUAACUCCCAUCCCAUACAUCAUCUAAGACAAGAAAAAACUUUUUUCCUUCAAUUGAUCUAUGGAUAUGGCUCGUAAGAGAUUGGAAUUCGUUUAAACUAGGAGCUGACUCACCUAGACCUUCAAUGAUUGCUUUGACAACCCUAAUCUCCUCAAAAGUGUCUGAUACACACACCCAUAUAACUUUUUCAAAAUUUCUUUUCACCUCAUCAUUAUUAUAGGCUAGUUGUGCAAGAGUGGUUUUACCUAUACCCCCUAACCCAACUAGUGAGAUGACAUGAAGGCCUUUUUGUUGUUCACUACUUUCACACAACAACUUGCUUAAGAGCUCAUUUUUCUCAUCAACUCUACCGCAAACCUCUCCCUCAUCAAUCAAGGAGGUGGUUCGCACUCGCUCUGGUUUCUUAACAUUGUUGCUCACAUUCUCAACAAAUUUAAACGUAUCUUUUUGGGAGGCAAUAUCAUCUAGCUUUCCAUUGAUUUCCCUAAUCUUGACGGCAAUGUCAUGACGAAGACUAAGUUGUUUGAAACUACCAAAGCAGUUUGAUACAGCACAAAAGAAGGAGCGUACCUUCUUCUUAUGAGGAGCAAGAGCAAGAGCAUUGUCAUCAUCAACGCCCUCAAUCUGCAAUUUGAGCCUUGCAGUGGUCCACUCCUCCAACACGUCUUCCAUGUCGUAAGAUGCGUCUUUGAGCUGAUCCAGCCAAAAAGUAACAGCAUUGUCGCGCUGCAUUUGCCUUUUCUCUGCAUCUUCCAGCACAGCUCGAAUGGCUCGAAGAUUGCUGGUAAGCUUUUUCACUUCUUCUCGGACACCAGUCACAAGCCUCACGUGUUGUUUCACUUCAUCAGCCGCAACGGAGAUCAGCUGCUCCAGGAGAGAGGAAACGAUCGCAUCAACCAUUCUGACAAAGAAAACGAGAAUUUUGAUGAGUUAUUAGAUGUGCUUUUGUUGCGAAGAUAUGAAAGAAAAGGAGUUAUUGCGUUCUUUUAUACUGCAUAGAAAAAGCUUAUGCUUAUCCCCACCCCACACGUCAAUGAUUGUAGAAUGUUUAUUUUCCCUGAUUCUACUCCACUAGUUGUGAUGCGUAAUUAUAAAUAUUCUCAAGUUAUGUAUGAAAAUAGCACAAAUUUGGAUCUAGUAAUGAUUUUUAUGUACUUUUUCAUCAUCUUCUAAAAUACCAUCUCUGCAUGUGCACGAAAUAUGGAAUUGGGUGAAAAAAGUUAUGCUUAUCCCCACCCACACGUUAGUAAUUGUAGUAGCAUCUUUAAUUUCCAUGAUUCUACUCCACGGACGAACACAUUUUUUGUAGUAACAUCUUUAAAUUCCCACACGUUAGGAAUUUGGCACAUAUCUCAAACUCGUCGCAUCUUUAACGUAUGAAGUUGAUGAAUAAAUUCUUUUCUCAUGUCAAUUUAAAACUCCGAGAUUAUGUGCCAAAUUCCUAACGUGUGGGAAUUUUACCUCCUAAGUAAUCCGGCCCACUACCAAGUGCCAACUUUUUCUCUGUCGAGUUAAUGAUGUUGUUUUGUUUUCCUUGUUUUAAUUAAUGUUGCCGAGAGAAACAGAUCGAUGCAAAUGGCUAGCCAGGUUUUGCAGAAACCGUGAAUGGUCUUGCAUGUGACAUAAAGCUUAAUCAUGUAUAUAUGUGUGUUGACACUUGCCAGUUCAUUUUUGUUAUAAAGAUUAUUGAUACUCAUAAAUGUACUACUUACAAAUCAUAAAUUUUGAGUUUGACACUUUAGUUUCAUUUUGUAAUCCCUACACUCUUUAAAUAUUUGUAACAAUAUAUUUCAAACUUUAACUCAGACGUAAUGAAUGAAGGGGGAUCCUCUUCUUAUAUAAAUUUUUAUUUUUUAACGUUCAAGUUACAUUUGAUUACGUGUACUUAUUAUCUAGUUUUGACUAUCUAAUUACAUUUGAUUACGUGUACUUAUUAUAUAAUUUUUUUUUGAAAUGAUGGAUCUGGUGAGAUUUUUUACAUCUUGGAUCAGUAGGUCAAGAACAGGCAGGGCAGGGCCUUCUCUGAAGUCAAUCUUGUGAGCAACACCAGCUUUUUGGAUAAUUGGCAGCCCCAAUUCAUAAUUUUCUCUAUUGAUGUCCAUGGCCAAAAUCUGCAACCGAAGCUUAUUCUACUCUUAUUAAUCGAGAGAUAAUUUUACCUCUAACUAAUUUAAUUGGGAGGAAAAUCGAGAGAGAUAUCCACUUUGUCCUUAUUAAUUGAGAGAUAAUUUUACCCUUACCCAAUUUAAUUGGAAAGAAAAUCGAAUUCCAACAAUAACUAGGACUCGAAUCCAUGCACUUAAGCUAACUUUAUGCUUUUGGACGCAUGGUUAUAAUGUUCUUUAUUUAAAUCCUAACAAAUGGUGGGACUUGAACUUGUGCCUACAAACAUUGAGUGCUUAGGGGCUGCAAAAUUUCAUAACUUAAUUUUAGUUGAUGUGGCAUGUGCCCUAUCACAUCAAUGUAGAUAAUAAUAAUUAAUACAUUAACAAAAUGAAAAAUAUUAGUUUACAAAAUACAAAUCCAAAUUUUUUGUGUGAGAGGGGAUUUAAAAGGGAGAGACUAAACAAAUGUGGUGAAAAACGACAUGUAUUACUACAACUGAAAAUACGAAGUCUAGGCAAUUGAAAACAUCGGGUUUUUUAUUUAAAUAUCCCCAAUUUGUCCUUAAAUACCAAAUUUAUACCCUAUUAUAUACAUAUACCUCACGAAGAUAGGGAAAGUAAAAAAUAACCUAAAAAAAUCAGGAAUCCGCACAUUUCUUCCUCUUAGUUCAGAAAGAUGUCGAGUACGAAGUCGGGUAAGUCGAGAAUUUAGUCGAGCAAGAAUUGGAGAUAAGUAAGUCAAUUAGGAAGUUGAGUAAGCAUAUUAAGUGAGUCGAGUAUUAAGUGGUUGAGUAUUAAGUAAAAGUCAAGUAAAUUUUUUGAACAAGUCGAGUAAAAUUUAUGUAAUUUUUAAAGAGGUCGAGUAUUAAGUCGGGUAAGUACAUUGGGUCGAGUAUUAAUAUUUUUAAAGAAGUGAAGUCUGAUAAGUUGAGCAUUUAGUCGAGUAAGAAGUUAAGGCAAUUGAAUAAGUCGAGUAUCUAGUUGAGUACAAAGUCGGGUAAGUUGAGCAUUCAGUCGAAUAAGAAGUAAAGACAAUUGAAUAAGUCGAGUGUCUAGUCGAGUACGAAGUCGAGUAUGAAAUCUGGUAAGUUGAGCAUUCAGUCGAGUGAGAAGUGAAGGCAAUUGAAUAAGUCGAGUAUCUAGUCGAGAACGAAGUCGGGUAUGAAGUCUGGUAAGUUGAGCAUUUAGUCGAGUGAGAAGUGAAGACAAUUGAAUAAGUCGAGUAUCUAGUCGAGUACAAAGUCGGGUAUGAAGUAUGGUAAGUUGAGCAUUUAGUCGAGUAAGAAGUGAAGGCAAUUGAAUAAGUCGAAUAUCUAGUCGAGUACGAAGUCAGGUAUAAAGUAUGGUAAGUUGAGCAUUCAGUUGAGUAAGAAGUGAAAGUAAUUGAAUAAGUCGAGUAUCUAGUCGAGUAAUCAAACCAAUUUUCUCCAUAGAGUCUUCAAAGUCAACCUAAAAAUGAAAUGCAGGUGGAAAUGAAAAUUCUAUAAACUAAAUAAAAUAAAAUGCAAUUCUUGAGCUUGAGCUUGCUUUUACAUCAUCAUAAUAGUGAAUUUUGAUACAUCUUUACUUUUCUGUUCUUGUUUAUUCACAACAAGAUAUCAAUAAAAGAAGAUGGAAAUGAAAUUCUAUAAAAUAAAGCAAGUGAAUUACCAGAAGAACAUUUUAGCAAUCCUUUGGCUAAAAUUUUCAUUUUCUUAGCAUACUCUCCUGCCUGUGAAUUGCUAGUGUGGUUCUAACAUUUCCUCGAAUCCCUGGUGAACAUAAUUAAACUCGUAUGAAAUAAAACAAAGUGGGCUAAUGUACUACUAAAAACAAUUACACAAUUACUUUAAAGAAUUAGUGUCUGUUUGGUAUGGCUUAUUUAAGAGGCAUAAGUGCUUAUUUAAUCGUAUAAGCACUUUUUAAAAAUUUUUAUGGUGUUUGGUUAUUUUUUUUGCUUAAAUAAGGUAAUUUACCUCUACUAGCAAAAGUCCAAAAUUUGAGCUUUUGGGAGUAGAGGUUAUAGAGCUUUUCUAAAAAUAUAUAAUAUAAAAAAUAUCACACAGUUUAAUGGUUCAAAAGUGAUUUUUUUAUUGACAACCAAACACCCAAUGACUUUUUUGACCAAAAGCUUUAUUAGUAUAAGCUCUGCUGCUAUAAGCUCUACUGUUAUAAGCUCUAUUUAAUAAGCUGUACCAAACAGAGCCUUAAUGUCACAUAAAUUAUAUAUAAAAAAAUACGAUUAUCAUUAUACAAGAUAAAAUUGAUAAUUUAGUUUUCAACAUUACUGCAAAUGUAUCACAGACAUUUUGUCUCUCAGCGAGUUACACAUAACAAAUUUUCGUACAUUAAAAAAUAAAUUGCAUUGGGAUUUUCUAUGAUAUUGUAUGAAAUUUUACAAAAGAGCACAUAUUUUUUUAAAGUAAAUAAAUAUAGAAAUUUCAGCAGACUACACUUGUAUUUUUUUAUUAUUUAAUUUUUAGAAAACAAGUUCAACAGAUUUGAUCACUAGGAAGUUUUACAUAUUUAUACCAAGAUUGAUUCUAUAUAGAAUCUUAAUUCAAAAUAUAAUUAUUUUUAUUAAUUUCAUUGCAAGCAACAAUGAAGUAAAUCAGAGGAGGAGAAAUUACCAGCGAGUGAUAUCUUACGGCGACCAAUUGAUGUGGGGAAUGUGGGAUAUCUUAUGCCAGUCUUCUCCUUUCCCCUCUCUUAACCCCAAAUUGUCAAUGUCUGCAGUGUCGUUGUUUGAAGUAACAACAAAGUAAAAUACAGAGAAAUUACCGGUAGGUGAUAGUAAUUGCAACCAUUCGAGAAUUUACCACUCGAUGUGGGGAAUGUGAGAUAUCCUAUGCCAGUCUUCUCCUUUCCCCUCUCUAUAACGGUUUUCAAGAAGAGGACAUCCCUCAAUACUCAAUUCCUGCAGCGUCGUCGUCCGAAGAAGGUAAUCCGGCAGCACCUUUAAUUUGGGGCAAUACCAAAUCGUCAAGGAAGAAAGAUGUGGUAUGUCUGUUGUCCUGCGAUCUUCUAGAAUGGGCAGUUCUUCCAAAUUUUCACAAGCAUGAAUAACCAGUACCUGCAGUUCCGUCGUUUGAAGAAGGUAAUCCGGCAGCGCCUUUAAUUUGUUGCAAAAACCAACUUUUAAGGAAGAAAGAUGGGGCAUGAUGGAGAUGUUUUCCUUCCUCGUAAUCUUGUAAUUCCACUCUUCCAAUUCUUCCAAUGCUACAAUUUCGAGUGAUUUCAAUUUGGGGAAGGCAAUAACUGAUGAUGACGAUGAAGAUGAAGAUGGGCCAUCCUCACUGCUUUCUUCUAUUCCCAAAAACUCAUUACCCACUCUUUUUACACUUUUCAAGUGGAUGAUUACGAGUUUUUCCAGAGGUAAUUUUCCCAAAGGAGGCAAAUGCUCACAGUUAAAACACGAGGAAAGAUAUAAAUUCCUUAGAUUGGUUAGUGAAGUCAACCAUUUGGGAAAAAUGUUGCCUCGGUAGGAUUCAAUCUCUAAUUUCUCUAAAUUCACAGGCGGUUGUAAGGCUUCAAGAAGUUGUUUAUCUUUCUCAUUCUUCCUCCUCCCUUCUUCGCCUUCCCCAUCUACGACUCUACCAAACUCAAGAUGCAAACGAAGGAGGUUUUUCUUAUUGUCUCAUCUACAUGCGAUACAUUACUCAGCCCUUCUACUCUACAUUCACGAAGGAGUUGAAGAUUUUUCAGAGAUUCAAGCCUACACGUGCUGCCACCAUCAACACCUCCACCCACAACAAACUUUUCUAAUGUUCGAAGGCUGGUCAAUCUGGAAAUCCCUAUUGGCAUGUACUUCAACGAAUAAGUUUCACCAUUCAGUAAACUCCUCAUGUUCUUUAACUUCCCAAUCCUCGCAGGCAAUUCUCUAAGACUUGGGCACCGCCUAAUAUCUAGCUUUUGUAAAUUAUAUAAUUCACACAAAGUCUCAGGUAGUCUCUCUAUACAUAGUCCAGACAAAUUAAGAUAUUUUAAAUGUAUCAAUUUUCCAACAUUUUCUGGAAUUUCUGUAAUCAAAUUUGGAUCUGAACGCAAACGAAUGGACAAUUGGCUUAUAACUAAUGCCCUUAAACACGCCAAUUUUCUAAAUAACUCCCGAAGGAUGCUGCGAUUAAGACUCCUAUUGGAAUAACUUCUAUCAUAAAUUAAGAGGCUACGCAAUCUAUCAAAUUCAAAAAAGGACAUAGUAAAUGAAGCGCCUCCUUCAAACUUUAACCCUAAGUGACGGACUUUCUCACCAAAAGAGUUUAUGACUGAUUCCUUGGUACCAUUAAUUUCUAGCCACAAACAUUCUUGCCUACUUACAAAUUGAGCAAAAUCAUAUACUAUGUCAUGCAUCUUGCAACUCAUAAUAUCAUCAUCGUCAUAAUAUUUUUCAAACUCUUGAAAGAAAGAGCGUGUUGCUAAGAUGUUGAAAUACUCUUCUCCAAUCAUCUCCAUUUCUUCGUCUUCAUCUGCAUUAAGGUAACUUUGAGCCAUCCAUAGAUUAAUCAAUUCCCUUUUAUUCAUAUUGUAGUCUUUUGGAAAGACAGCACAAUAUGAGAAGCACCGUUUUACCAUAGAAUUAGAGGGCAAAUCGUUAUAACUCAACAACAAAGGAGCCAAAAUACCUUGCCCAAUCUCUUCUACUUUCCACAUUUCACUAUCUAAAAUUCUUUGCCACUCUUUUACUAUACUUUUAGAGCGCAAGAGAUUCCCUAUUACCUUUGCAGCAAGAGGCAGGCCUUUGCACUUACAUGCAAUUUUUCGCCAAAUUGGUUCUAAUUUUUCACAAUCCUCAAAGGACCUACGUAGAAAUGCUAUCUACUUAAACAGUAACCAACAUUCCCCUUCACCCAACUCCUUGACAGGGAUAAUAUUUAUUGAUCCCAACUGUAGUGCAACUGACUUAUCACGUGUGGUAAUCCGAAUUUUACUUUCAUGGUGGCCAUUCUUUAGACAAGAAAAGAAUGGGUCCCAUUCUUUAUAAUCUCCAUCCCACACAUCAUCUAAAACAAGAAAAAAUUUCUUCCCCGUAAUAUAUUCCUGAAUCUGUUUCAUAAGAGAUUCGAAUUCGCUUAAACCAGAAGCUGACACGCCUAGACCUUCAAUGAUUGCUUUGGCGACCCUAAUCUCCUCAAAAGUGUCUGAUACACACACCCAUAUAACUUUUUCAAAAUUUAUUUUCACCUCAUCAUUAUUAUAGGCCAGUUGUGCAAGAGUGGUUUUACCUAUACCCCCUAACCCAACUAGAGAGAUGACAUAAAGGCCUUGUUGUUGUUCACUACUUUCACACAACAACUUGCUUAAGAGCUCAUUUUUCUCAUCAACUCUACCGCAAACCUCUCCCUCAUCAAUCAAGGAGGUGGUUCGCACUCGCUCUGGUUUCUUAACAUUGUUGCUCACAUUCUCAACAAAUUUAAACGUAUCGUUUUGGGAGGCAAUAUCAUCUAGCUUUCCAUUGAUUUCCCUAAUCUUGACGGCA
This 7876-nucleotide long non-coding RNA is filed under the name Citrus maxima (pomelo). RNAcentral's name for it is "long non-coding RNA (CMAX_LNC001275)". Lineage: Eukaryota; Viridiplantae; Streptophyta; Magnoliopsida; Sapindales; Rutaceae. The record is from RNAcentral.